Molecule: ribosomal RNA, 448 nt
Filed under: uncultured bacterium
Lineage: Bacteria
Description: bacterial SSU rRNA
Rfam family: Bacterial small subunit ribosomal RNA
Source: RNAcentral
AACGAACGCUGGCGGCAGGCCUAAGACAUGCAAGUCAAGGGGUCCAGCAAUGGACACCGGCGCACGGGUGCGUAACGCGUGGGAAUGUACCUCUAGGUGCGGAACAACACAGGGAAACUUGUGCUAAUACCGCAUAAUAUCUUCGGAUCAAAGAUUUAUCGCCUAGGGAUCAGCCCGCGUAAGAUUAGGUAGUUGGUAGGGUAAUGGCCUACCAAGCCUACGAUCUUUAGCUGGUCUGAGAGGAUGAUCAGCCACACUGGGACUGAGACACGGCCCAGACUCCUACGGGAGGCAGCAGUUAGGAAUAUUGGACAAUGGAGGAAACUCUGAUCCAGCCAUGCCGCGUGAGUGAAGAAGGCCUUCGGGUUGUAAACUCUUUAGUCGUGACGAUGAUGACGGUAGCGACAGAAAAGACUCCGGCUAACUUCGUGCCAGCAGCCGCGGUAAU